Molecule: ribosomal RNA, 253 nt
Filed under: uncultured bacterium
Lineage: Bacteria
Description: partial 16S ribosomal RNA
Rfam family: Bacterial small subunit ribosomal RNA
Source: RNAcentral
UACGUAGGGUGCAAGCGUUAUCCGGAAUUAUUGGGCGUAAAGAGCUCGUAGGCGGUUUGUCGCGUCUGCUGUGAAAACGCGAGGCUCAACCUCGCGCCUGCAGUGGGUACGGGCAGACUAGAGUGUGGUAGGGGAGACUGGAAUUCCUGGUGUAGCGGUGAAAUGCGCAGAUAUCAGGAGGAACACCGGUGGCGAAGGCGGUUCUCUGGGCAUUACCUGACGCUGAGGAGCGAAAGUGUGGGGAGCGAACAGG